UAAUAAUAUUCAAGACAAUAACCAAAAACAGCAAAAUUUCCUUAAAAUUACCAAUUUAGGGGCAGCAACCCAACAACGGGUUGUCAGAUUCAUCUGAAAAUUUCGGGGCAGAUAGAUCUUGACCUGAUAAACAAAUUAACCCCCAUGUCAGAUUUGCUCUAAACGCUUUGGUUUUUGAGUUAUAAGCCAAAAACUGCAUUUUACCCCUAUGUUGUAUUUUUAGCCAUGGCGGCCAUCUUGGUUGGAUGGCCGCGUCAUCGGACACAUUUUUUAAACUAGAUACCCCAAAGAUGAUUGUGGAUAAGUUUGGAUUAAUUUGGCCCAGUAGUUUCAGAGGAGAAGAUUUUUGUAAAAGAUUACUAAGAUUUACGAAAAAUGGUUAAAAAUUGACUAUAAAGGGCAAUAACUCCUAUAUGGGUCAACUGACCAUUUCGGUCAUGUUGACUUAUUUGUAAAUCUUACUUUGCUGAACAUUAUUGCUGUUUACAGUUUAUUUUUAUCUAUAAUAAUUUUCAAGAUAAUAACCAAAAACAGUAAAAUUUCCUUAAAAUGACCAAUUCAGGGGCAGGAACCCAACAACUGGUUGUCCGAUUUAUCUGAAAAUUUCAGGGCAGAUAGAUCUUGACCUGAAAAACAAUUUAGCACCUGUCAGAUUUGCUCUAGACGCUUUGGUUUUUUAGUUAUAAGCCAAAAACUGCAUUUUACCCCUAUGUUCUAUUUUUAGCCAUGGCGGCCAUCUUGGUUGGAUGGCUGGGUCAUCAGACACAUUUUUUAAACUAGAUACCCCAAAGAUGAUUGUGAAUAAGUUUGGAUUAAUUUGGCCCAGUAGUUUCAGAGGAGAAGAUUUUUGUAAAAGAUUACUAAGAUUUACGAAAAAUGGUUAAAAAUUGACUAUAAAGGGCAAUAACUCCUAAAGGGGUCAACUGACCAUUUCGGUCAUGUUGACUUAUUUGUAAAUCUUACUUUGCUGAACAUAAUGGCUGUUUACAGUUUAUCUCUAUCUAUAAUAAUAUACAAGAUAAUAACCAAAAACAGCAAAAUUUCCUUAAAAUUACCAAUUCAGGGGCAGCAACCCAACAACAGGUUGUCAGAUUCAUCUGAAAAUUUCAGGGUAGAUAGAUCUUGACCUGAUAAACAAUUUUACCAAAUGUCAGAUUUGCUCUUAAUGCUUUGGUUUUUAAGUUAUAAGCCAAAAACUGCAUUUUACCCCUAUGUUCUAUUUUUAGCCGUGGCGGCCAUCUUGGUUGGUUGGCCGGGUCACCGGACACAUUUUUUAAACUAGAUACCCCAAAGAUAAUUGUGGCCAAGUUUGGAUAAAUUUGGCCCAGUAGUUUCAGAGGAGAAGAUUUUUGUAAAAGAUUAUUAAGAUUUACGAAAAAUGGUUAAAAAUUGACUAUAAAGGGCAAUAACUCCUAAAGGGGUCAACUGAUCAUUUCGGUCAUGUUGACUUAUUUGUAGAUCUUACUUUGCUGAACAUUAUUGCUGUUUACUGUUUAUCUCUAUCUAUAAUAAUAUUCAAGAUAAUAACCAAAAACAGCAAAAUUUCCUUAAAAUUACUAAUUCAGGGGCAGCAACCCAACAACGGGUUAUCCGAUUCAUCUGAAAAUUUCAGGGCAGAUAGAUCUUGACCUGUUACACAAGUUUACCCCAUGUCAGAUUUGCUCUAAAUGCUUUGGUUUUUGAGUUAUAAGCCAAAAACUGCAUUUUACCCCUAUGUUCUAUUUUUAGCCAUGGCGGCCAUCUUGGAUGGUUGGCCGGGUCACCGGACACAUUUUUUAAACUAGAUACCCCAAUGAUGAUUUUGGCCAAGUGUGGUGUAAUUUGGCCCAGUAGUUUCAGAGGAGAAGAUUUUUGUAAAAGUUAACGACGCCAGACGACGACGGACGACAGACGACGGACGACAGACGACGGACGACAGACGACGGACGACGGACGACGGACGCCAAGUGAUGGGAAAAGCUCACUUGGCCCUUUGGGCCAGGUGAGCUAAAAAUGUUUUACAAUAGCACAAUAC
Molecule: long non-coding RNA, 2014 nt
Filed under: Mytilus galloprovincialis (Mediterranean mussel)
Lineage: Eukaryota; Metazoa; Mollusca; Bivalvia; Mytilida; Mytilidae
Source: RNAcentral